Long non-coding RNA from Catharus ustulatus (Swainson's thrush), 1633 nucleotides. RefSeq lists it as uncharacterized. Lineage: Eukaryota; Metazoa; Chordata; Aves; Passeriformes; Turdidae. The record is from RefSeq and is a predicted model, not a curated record. The transcript has 3 exons.
CCACCAGGCCGCUUGAUUCAGUGCCAAACCAAGCCCUGAACUGGGUCUGCGGCUCCCGGUGUGUCCCCCGUGCCCGGUGCAGCGUCACUGUGGGACACGGACUGGGGUUCUGACCUCCAUCCUUUAAUCCCGGGGCAGUUCGGGGUAGGAUCAGUGCUGCAGAAGCUGCUGGACUGGGAUGCAGGAGGCCUGGCCAGGACCCGGUUUAUCCCUCCGCCGAUUUGCUGAUUUUUGAUUUGAUGCCUUUGACCUCCUUCUGGAUCAUUCUGACCUGAAUAAGCAGCGAGCUGGGCUCGAAUUUGGGUCCCUAACACCCAGGAAAGCGAUUUGCAGAGCUUACUGUGAGGUACCAGCACAAGUAAUUACAGCAAAAUGGAGAUAAGAGUGUAUCCUGAACCCUGUGUCGUUUGGACCGGUGUGAAAUCCAGCCCUGUCCCACCCCUCCUGGCCAGUUCUGGAGGGCUGAGGAGUGUUAAAAAUACAGUAUUAAAAAUAGGCAUUGAGGCCUUGGGGAGCGGGAGGCACGGGAGGAUUCCAGGAGCUGGGACACACGAGUUCCAUUUUUCCCCACUCCUUACAGGGCUGUGACCUGUGAGGGCAAAGCCAAGCAAUCCCACCACAGGGACACUGAGGAGGACGAGGAGAAGGGAGGUGUCCCUGUGGGCACGGAGGCUAUGGCUCACACAAAGUCCCAUCUGUACCAGCCUCUCUUCAGGAUCCCCUUUCCCUGAGAAUGUGGAUUCCAAAUCCACCAGAAACAGCAGAACUUUGUGACACACGCAGAAAUCGCUAUGAGGAGCACGGAAAAGGGGUGGAUGCAUCUUGAGGAAAAGAGACAAAAUCUGGGAAAUAACUUCUACUCCAGGAGACUUGGAGAUAAAGAUCACCAGACCACUAAAUCAUCCACAGGCUGAGGCCAGAAUAUGAGAACUUUUUGACUGAAACAGUCCUGAUCCUGUUUGAAGUGGAAGUAUUCCUCCCCAAGGGGGUUAUUGGAGGCGUCUCAGAACUUGUCCUGUACUGAUAUAAGCUUGGCUUUAUUUCCUUAUUAGGUGUGAUUCUUUAUAUCUUUCUUGGAUCAUUUCCCCAGUUCAUUACCAACCCAUCCCAGCUUAAGAGUUAAUUUGGUAUCACCCAGUUCAGAUGUUGUAAUUCACUCCUUAGGUUCUCCCACAUGUCCUUUGAUUCUGCUGGAGUGGAUCCACCCUCGUUCCCUGGUCUGGAUCUCUGUCUCAGUCAUCACCAGCACCUGAAAAGGACCUUCCCUAUUGUGGAGUUAAAAAUUAUUUUUUUCUAUGUUUUCACUAAUACCCAUUCCCCUGAAUGGAUAUUAUGGGUUUUAAAUUCUGAAGGUGUGAAUUGAGGGAUUAUCUCCUUCAACUGCAAAUUUUUAAGUGCUUUUGUUGUUGUAAUGACAUAUUUCUUAACACUCAUUUCCUCUGCCUCAUAAGUAGCACUUUCAUGUUGGGUGGUUAAAAAGAGUAAUCCAAACACCAUGUUAUAGGAUGACACUUUUAGGUUUAACUUGGGUUGUGUUUGGACCCUUAACAGAGUCAAGAUAAACAUUUUACUUACAACAUUUGGGUUUCAAUUACUAUUAUUAAUUUCAUUAAAGUUCUUUUUAAAGUCUGGA